AGCGAACGCUGGCGGCAUGCUUAACACAUGCAAGUCGCACGGUUGGGGGCAACUCCGGCAGUGGCGGACGGGUGAGUAACGCGUAGGAAUCUAUCCUUGGGUGGGGGACAACCGUGGGAAACUACGGCUAAUACCGCAUGAUCCCUGAGGGGCAAAGGCGAAAGUCGCCUGAGGAGGAGCCUGCGUCUGAUUAGGUAGUUGGUGGGGUAAAGGCCUACCAAGCCUGCGAUCAGUAGCUGGUCUGAGAGGAUGAUCAGCCACAUUGGGACUGAGACACGGCCCAAACUCCUACGGGAGGCAGCAGUGGGGAAUAUUGGACAAUGGGCGAAAGCCUGAUCCAGCAAUGCCGCGUGUGUGAAGAAGGUCUUCGGAUUGUAAAGCACUUUUGGCAGGGACGAUGAUGACGGUACCUGCAGAAUAAGCCCCGGCUAACUUCGUG
RNAcentral lists this ribosomal RNA (439 nucleotides) under uncultured bacterium. RNAcentral describes it as "bacterial SSU rRNA". It matches the Rfam family "Bacterial small subunit ribosomal RNA", at positions 29 to 507 of the family's 1533-position model. The record is from RNAcentral.